CCUACGGGUGGCAGCAGUGAGGAAUAUUGGUCAAUGGACGAGAGUCUGAACCAGCCAAGUAGCGUGAAGGAUGACUGCCCUAUGGGUUGUAAACUUCUUUUAUAUGGGAAUAAAAUGUUCCACGUGUGGGCUUUUGUAUGUACCAUAUGAAUAAGGCUCGGCUAACUCCGUGCCAGCAGCCGCGGUAAUACGGAGGAGCCGAGCGUUAUCCGGAUUUAUUGGGUUUAAAGGGAGCGUAGGUGGAUUGUUAAGUCAGUUGUGAAAGUUUGCGGCUCAACCGUAAAAUUGCAGUUGAAACUGGCAGUCUUGAGUACAGUAGAGGUGGGCGGAAUUCGUGGUGUAGCGGUGAAAUGCUUAGAUAUCACGAAGAACUCCGAUUGCGAAGGCAGCUCACUGGACUGCAACUGACACUGAGGCUCGAAAGUGUGGGUAUCAAACAGGAUUAGAUACCCCAGUAGUC
RNAcentral lists this ribosomal RNA (460 nucleotides) under uncultured bacterium. Its description in RNAcentral is "partial 16S ribosomal RNA". It matches the Rfam family "Bacterial small subunit ribosomal RNA", at positions 338 to 795 of the family's 1533-position model. The record is from RNAcentral.